Molecule: long non-coding RNA, 826 nt
Organism: Drosophila willistoni
Lineage: Eukaryota; Metazoa; Arthropoda; Insecta; Diptera; Drosophilidae
Exons: 2
Source: RefSeq, a predicted model, not a curated record
AGAAAAGUGUCAGCGCAUUAAAAAAGCCAAGCCAACAAAAUGAUCAAUUUCAUAAUAAGAAUUACAUUAAUAAUGAAAUUUGCCUUAGCCCUGAUAAAUACAGAAACAAAUCUGUGUAAUAGAACAUUUUCAAUUGAAUACACAGAAGAAAUUGAGAUGCCAUUGGAAGCAUAUGGUAAAACUGGUGAAUAUUUUCAGAAACUACAUAUUAAAGGAGAAAUUGUAAAUGUGACCAAAACUAAGGACGAAAUUCGUGAAGUUUGUUGUGAAGGCUAUAAGAAAACCGAUGAUGGCAGUAAUUUUUGCGUAAUUGAGGAAACCACAACUGAAAGUUCAACAGAAUCACUGAGCUCAACCACAGAGAGUUUCUUUUCCCCGGAAAUUUCGUCCACAGAGAGUGACGUCAUUUUGGACACAGUUCCAAAUAAAAUAAUGGGAGCCGAUAGGUCGAGCAAACAAGCCGUUACAUUUGUUUUUCAAUAUAUAUUAUAUGGAUUUUUAUGUGGUGUUCUUUUAGUUUCACCAAUAACAAUCGUAAUUUGGUUCAAAAACAGACGCAUUCGGGCAUUAAAUCACCAUUACUAUGUAAAUGAGCCACCCAUAUAUCUCGAUUAAACAAGGUUCUUAAAAAAAUAAACUUUAGGCAUUUAAAAGUAUAUAUAAAGUACAUCAAUUAAAUAUGUAUGUAUUUCUGAAUAAGAAAACCCGAAAAUGCUAACAUAAAUGGCAAAAAUACCCUAUGUUUAAGCGAGCUCUUAUCAGUUUACUUUUAAAUUCCUGCUGACCGAAUAAAUUGUUUUCUUAUCAUCCGCUCAGACUUAUGCAA